This is a long non-coding RNA of Oncorhynchus tshawytscha (Chinook salmon), 3856 nucleotides long. The record is from Ensembl. NCBI's taxonomy places the organism in Eukaryota, Metazoa, Chordata, Actinopteri, Salmoniformes, Salmonidae.
UGGGUAUUGACGCCGACGUCUCCCAUUCCCUUUUCAUUUGUAGCGCAACAGCAGAGGACUACCGAAAAAUAUUUCGGACUAACUUUGAACGAAACCCACUAAAUUAACGUCUUAUGUGGCUACAUUUCUUAAGAAGUGUCGGUUUAAUUUCGACAUCGACGAUUUUGUUAGACUUUUUGUUUUUGGUUCAAGCGAAGUUAUUAGCAGUUGAAAGCAAAGCUCGCGAAUAGCCUAUUCUCGCUAUAGUAAUAGUCUAGCCGAUAUCUAAAUUGAAUAAUCUUAUUUUGUGGUUCAACUAUCAUUUAAAGCUGAUUUCAAGGAGAAUGUGUAUAGAUUUACUUGGAUUUUUUUCGUCCAGGACACGGAGCAGGCAUGGAAUUCUUAUUGCUGCAUGCGCUAGUCUGGAAAAUGAAAGUUCCCGCCUCCGUAUGCAGAGCGUGUGUCAUUGCUGUGACUGGAUCCGACACCACUACGGUCACUUGAGCGCAGAAUACCUUUCCCUGCUGGAUCAGAUGGUGAGUUAUCAGCACACUGUAAGAUGAGACUGAAUGCAUGUAUUAAGGACAGCAAAACAACCAACCAAGUAAAAUAGUCAUACGUUUCAUGUUUAGCAUCUGUGUUAGAAAACGGUCGGCCUAUAUUUGGAUAUACAUAGUAAAAGAGCGCUAAGGCUGUAAUGACAGCGAGAUCAAAUCAAAUCGAAACAAAUUUAUUUAUAUAGCCCUUCGUACAUCAGCUGAUAUCUCAAUGUGCUGUACAGAAACCCAGCCUAAAACCCCAAAUAGCAAGCAAUGCAGGUGUAGAAGCACUGUGGCUAGGAAAAACUCCCUCGAAAGGCCAAAACCUAGGAAGAAACCUAGAGAGGAACCAGGCUAUGAGGGGGGGCCAGUCUUCUUCUGUCUGUGCCGGGUGGAGAUUAUAACAGAACAUGGCCAAGAUGUUCAUAAAUGACCACCAUGGUCAAAUAAUAAUAAUCACAGUAGUUGUCGAGGGUGCAGCAAGUCAGCACCUCAGGAGUAAAUGUCCGUUGGCUUUUCAUAGCCGAUCAUUAAGGGUAUCUCUACCACUCCUGCUGUCUUUAGAGAGUUAAAAACAGCAGGUCUUGGACAGGUAGCACAUCCGGUGAACAGGUCAGGAUUCCAUAGCCGCAGGCAGAACAGUUGAAACUGGAGCAACAGCACGGCCAGGUGGACUGGGGACAGCAAGGAGUCAUCAUGCCAGGUAGUCCUGAGGCAUGGUCCUAGGGCUCAGGUCCUCCGAGAGAGAGAAAUAAAGAGAGAAUUAGAGAGAGCAUACUUAAAUUCACACAGGACACCAGAUAAGACAUGAUAUAGAUAUAACAAACUGACCCUAGCCCCCCGACACAUGAACUACGGCAGCAUAAAUACUGGAGGCUGAGACAGGAGGGGUAAGGAGACACUGUUGCCCCAUCCGAUGAUACCCCCGGACAGGGCCAAACAGGAAGGAUAUUUGACACGUGACUCAACAUACUAUAUUGAUUGUUUUCCAUGGAGGAGAUAUCACAAAGCAGAAUGCCCCAGUCUUUUCCCCAACGUCACUUUACAGACCCAUAGAUGAUGCCGAGGUAAAGGCUAGAAUCUUUACUAAUCAUGUUCUGAUAUGCUUUGGUAUUGCGUUCUUGACCCAAUGUUAUAUUGAUGCUUUGUAAGUAGGAAAACCUGCAAAAUCGGCAGUGUAUCAAAUACUUGUUCACCCCACUGUAUCUACCGCGGCUUUGAUUGGACUGAUCAAGUCAACAUCCAGCUUUCAAAAUCGUAGCUCGCAAGCUAGACAAGCAGUCAUCAUCAUGACUCACGUUGACAAUCUACUGUCAAAUCCUUUUCAUGCCUUGUCAUAUGAAGAGAUACUAUAGAUAAAACGUAUAAGUGCAAAUCGGCCAUUAGACAUGAACAUUACACAACAAGUUGGAAAUUGCAAAUUCAACAAUGAGAGGUUGAGAAGGAAUCUGGGGCUAAUUUCAAAUAACUACCCUGCUAUUCAGUAGAUUCGUGUGUGGUCCAAAUCUGGGUUUAAGGGUCUUAUUCCAAAAUUAAAAGGAUAAACUUUCAACACCAAAGGCCAGAAAAAGUUGAAUACAUUGGCCUUGCUGUCAAUCCAGCAUGACUUUUGCCAUGUUCAAAACAACUGGAAACUCGGAACUGGGAAAUCUCAGACUUCAGUGAGUUCAAACAACUAGGAAUUCUGGAGAAAAAAAAGAGCUCCGACAGGGAAAAUACGUUUUGAACCGUCAUCCAACUCAGAAUUCCAAGUCGGGAUCUUUAGAGUUCCGACCUGAAAAUGACUGACAUCAUGAUUCGACCAGUUGUUUUUUCUUGAGUUUCCAGUUGUCUUGGAAGCACCAUAAAUCACCAUAAAUCCAGAGAAUGCCAGACUUUGAUGCCAAAGUUUGAUGACAAGAUGUGCCCAAAAGAUGGACUGCAGCGCCUCCUUCCUGUUCACGUUAGCAUAGCACAACAAGUGACAUCUUGCCUGAUAAAUACCUAGAUGGUCUUUUUCGGGAGCAGUGCUUGCAAGAGAACGUGUACAUCAACAUUCAACAUUAAUUUGUUAUUUGAAGACACUCAUUAUCAACAGUUGAAUGCAGAUGAUAACUCUACCAUCGGAAACGUUUUCAUGGAGACACUACGUCGUUCUACAAAACGCUACUUGAGCAAAAUGAAGCAACUUCUAUAGAAAAAUGUUAAAAUAACACAGAAGCCUACAUUGAAUGGUUGUAUUUGAAUCACUUUUUCGUUGUUACAUUUACUCAAUCCAAAUUACUGUGGGGUUUCAUGGUUUCAGGACAACAGUACCUGGGAGGUUGUUCGAAAUGAAAUCGUGUGGAUAUUCAAGAACUUACAGAUUCUACUCGAGUCUAUGCACCAGAAAUGAGCAGAUGUAAUAUAUUUAUGUCAUGCCAUGACUGUAGGCUGCCGAAAUAAACCUGUUGAACCAUUUAACAUAAUUUGUAAUUAACUGACUGCACAAAUACAGUGAAAUUCAUCUCAAGUUUUAAAAUAAUCAUGAAUUAGUUGAUUGGCCAACAAUCUUGAACAAUCAAUGCCAUGAUCAGAUAGUUCAUUGUUACAUGGUAACCUAAUAUAAAGGCUUAACAUAAAAUCUGCAUAAUCAGAAACCUACACCUCCAAUUACACCUCGUUUAUUCAGAUUAAGAUAGCUGACGUUGCCACCGAUGUCUGUUCCUUUCUGUAUGUUUUCAGACAUCUAAAUUCCUGUAGAUUGUGAAAACAGUAUGUCACACACUGCGGUCGCACCUAAACGACUCUUAUCUGUACACACAGACUUAUGACUAAGUCACUUAAGAUUAGCCUGUAUCAGCAAAGUACUAACAUAUAACAAUGGACAAUUCUCUAAGUAAAAACAGCAUAGUAAGUCUAAUUAAACAGCACAGUAAAACCAUGAAUUUUACAUUUCCACCACAUAAUGACGCAGUAUAACAGUGGCGUACAGAACGGCAUUUCAUAAAUAACAAUUUGUGGCUCCUUGUCAUGGAUGGGCUAUUGCAACAGACGACCAAAAUGGGUUCUACUCCUACCAGUUAAAAGCAUGAAGUGGCUCUAGUGGGAAGGCAAUCACGAAAACUGGACAAUUGAGAAGUGGAAAAUGGUUGCUUUGUCCGAUGAAUCCCGGUUCUUUUUGCAUCAUGCUGAUGGCAGUCAGGAUUGGUGUACCUAAUUAACUGACCGCUGAGUGUAUUUUACAUGUUGAUUACUGUGAGGGUGGGGGCAUCUCUAAAUAUAAUGUCCAAAAGAAUAAAAUAAUAUUAUCAUUUUCUUAUUGCUUAAUAUGUCAUUAUUUGUUGUUGUUUUUAUAAAUAUUUUACCACUUUCCACAA